UGGGGAAUAUUGGACAAUGGGCGAAAGCCUGAUCCAGCCAUGCCGCGUGUGUGAAGAAGGUCUUCGGAUUGUAAAGCACUUUAAGUUGGGAGGAAGGGCAGUAAGUUAAUACCUUGCUGUUUUGACGUUACCGACAGAAUAAGCACCGGCUAACUCUGUGCCAGCAGCCGCGGUAAUACAGAGGGUGCAAGCGUUAAUCGGAAUUACUGGGCGUAAAGCGCGCGUAGGUGGUUUGUUAAGUUGGAUGUGAAAGCCCCGGGCUCAACCUGGGAACUGCAUCCAAAACUGGCAAGCUAGAGUACGGUAGAGGGUGGUGGAAUUUCCUGUGUAGCGGUGAAAUGCGUAGAUAUAGGAAGGAACACCAGUGGCGAAGGCGACCACCUGGACUGAUACUGACACCGAGGUGCGAAAGCGUGGGGAGCAAACA
RNAcentral lists this ribosomal RNA (427 nucleotides) under uncultured bacterium. Its description in RNAcentral is "partial 16S ribosomal RNA". It matches the Rfam family "Bacterial small subunit ribosomal RNA", at positions 355 to 774 of the family's 1533-position model. The record is from RNAcentral.